RNAcentral lists this ribosomal RNA (264 nucleotides) under uncultured prokaryote. RNAcentral's name for it is "partial 16S ribosomal RNA". It matches the Rfam family "Bacterial small subunit ribosomal RNA", at positions 524 to 788 of the family's 1533-position model. The record is from RNAcentral.
UACGUAGGGGCAAGCGUUAUCCGGAUUUACUGGGUGUAAAGGGAGCGCAGACGGAACUGCAAGUCUGAUGUGAAAGCCCGGGGCUCAACCGCGGGACUGCAUCGGAUACUGUGGAUCUGGAGUGCCGGAGGGGCAAGCGGAAUUCCUGGUGUAGCGGUGAAAUGCGUAGAUAUCAGGAGGAACACCGGCGGCGAAGGCGGCUUGCUGGACGGCAACUGACGUUGAGGCUCGAAAGCGUGGGGAGCAAACAGGAUUAGAUACCCU